This is a long non-coding RNA of Rosa chinensis, 262 nucleotides long. RefSeq lists it as uncharacterized. The transcript has 3 exons. NCBI's taxonomy places the organism in Eukaryota, Viridiplantae, Streptophyta, Magnoliopsida, Rosales, Rosaceae. The record is from RefSeq and is a predicted model, not a curated record.
GUUAAAAUGGACCAGUUUGCAAAUCCUCCCUGCCUGAUAUUUGCUUUAUGUUGGUCUUGUUUCAGAUUGUGACUUGUUAGCAUUGGACACAAUAUCAGCACUCAACUAUUGAAGAUGACGAGCUCCCAGAAUACCUUGGUGAUGGAGUUAGUUAGGCAUAAAUUAGUGAUUUUGUUUAUGUAGUUUGUUAUGUUUCAAUAUAUAGUCCAUAUUGCAUCCAAAGACACAACUUGUUGGUUAGACUAAGUUUUGAAUUUCUUGU